RNAcentral lists this ribosomal RNA (266 nucleotides) under uncultured prokaryote. Its description in RNAcentral is "partial 16S ribosomal RNA". It matches the Rfam family "Bacterial small subunit ribosomal RNA", at positions 524 to 789 of the family's 1533-position model. The record is from RNAcentral.
UACGUAGGGUGCGAGCGUUGUCCGGAAUUAUUGGGCGUAAAGAGCUCGUAGGCGGUUUGUCGCGUCUGCUGUGAAAAUCCGGGGCUCAACCCCGGACUUGCAGUGGGUACGGGUAGACUAGAGUGUGGUAGGGGAGACUGGAACUCCUGGUGUAGCGGUGAAAUGCGCAGAUAUCAGGAGGAACACCGAUGGCGAAGGCAGGUCUCUGGGCCACUACUGACGCUGAGAAGCGAAAGCAUGGGGAGCGAACAGGAUUAGAUACCCGU